GAUGAACGCUGGCGGCGUGCCUAAUACAUGCAAGUCGAGCGAACGGACGAGAAGCUUGCUUCUCUGAUGUUAGCGGCGGACGGGUGAGUAACACGUGGAUAACCUACCUAUAAGACUGGGAUAACUUCGGGAAACCGGAGCUAAUACCGGAUGAUAUUUUGAACCGCAUGGUUCAAAAGUGAAAGACGGUCUUGCUGUCACUUAUAGAUGGAUCCGCGCUGCAUUAGCUAGUUGGUAAGGUAACGGCUUACCAAGGCAACGAUGCAUAGCCGACCUGAGAGGGUGAUCGGCCACACUGGAACGGAGACACGGUCCCGACUCCUACGGGAGGCAGCAGUAGGGAAUCUUCCGCAAUGGGCGAAAGCCUGACGGAGCAACGCCGCGUGAGUGAUGAAGGUCUUCGGAUCGUAAAACUCUGUUAUUAGGGAAGAACAUAUGUGUAAGUAACUGUGCACAUCUUGACGGUACCUAAUCAGAAAGCCACGGCUAACUACGUG
RNAcentral lists this ribosomal RNA (497 nucleotides) under uncultured bacterium. RNAcentral describes it as "partial 16S ribosomal RNA". It matches the Rfam family "Bacterial small subunit ribosomal RNA", at positions 28 to 507 of the family's 1533-position model. The record is from RNAcentral.